This 268-nucleotide ribosomal RNA is filed under the name uncultured bacterium. Its description in RNAcentral is "partial 16S ribosomal RNA". It matches the Rfam family "Bacterial small subunit ribosomal RNA", at positions 523 to 776 of the family's 1533-position model. The record is from RNAcentral.
UGACGUAGGGGGCUAGCGUUUGUCCGGAUUUAUUGGGACGUAAAAGAGCGUGUUAGGCGGCCUGGUAGGUCUGCUGAUGAAAACUCGAGGCUCAAACCUCGAGAUGUCCGGCGGAAAACCAUCUGGCUAGAGUCCGGAAGAGGAGAGUGGAAAUUCCUGGUGUAGCGGUGAAAAUGCGCAGAUAUCAGGAAAGAACACCUAUGGCGAAGGCAGCUCUCUGGGACGGUACUGACGCUGAAGGAGCGAAAAGCGUGGGGGAGCGAACAGG